AUGCCGGAGCCUCGCGCCGAGGACCGCCAGGGCGUGGUGCUCAACUGCCUCGAGGCGCCGCUCGACGUGGACAUCCCGGGCGGCGGCCGCGUGGUGGUGCUCAACACGGCCAACCUGCCACCGGUGAAGGACGUUGGGCUGGGCUCUGACCUCGUGAGGAUCGACGGUCGCUCCAUGUGCUCGCCGGGAUUCUCCUGCGACUCGGCCUACCAGGUCACCUACAUAGUGCGCGGCGGCGGCCGCGUCCAGGUCGUCGGCAUCGACGGCACCCGUGUACUGGAGACCCGCGCCGAGGCGGGCUGCCUCUUCAUCGUGCCUAGGUUCUUCGUCGUCUCCAAGAUCGCAGACGACACCGGCAUGGAGUGGUUCUCCAUCAUCACCACGCCAAACCCGAUCUUUAGCCACUUGGCUGGUAGGAUGUCGGUGUGGAAGGCGAUAUCGCCGGAGGUGCUAGAGACGGCCUUCAACAGCACGCCAGAGAUGGAAAAGAUGUUCCGCUCCAAGAGGCUCGACUCUGAGAUCUUCUUUGCUCCCAACUAG
This 540-nucleotide ribosomal RNA is filed under the name Triticum aestivum (bread wheat). Its description in RNAcentral is "partial small subunit ribosomal RNA". The record is from RNAcentral. Lineage: Eukaryota; Viridiplantae; Streptophyta; Magnoliopsida; Poales; Poaceae.